GGCCUGAAGAGAUAUAAGGAGGGGGAUAUCCGGAGUCGCCCCACAAUGCUCCCCCCGCGGGCUCCUCCGACCCGGAGCCCUCUUGGGGCGGAUCUGGGGGCGGAGGCGGGCCACGAUAGGCUUGAAGGGAGGGAUAUAGGGGCGGAAACUUCCGCGAGGGUGGGGCUGUCCUAGAGGCGGUGGCGGAAAGCAAGGAAGCAGGGGUUCGGCGAGGCCCUGCCCUACAGGGCUUGGCAGGGGCCCCUGAGCAGCGUCCUUCACUGGAUCCCCCGUUCUCUGGCCGCACGUUGGGCGCCACUUGUCCCGGCCCGCGGGAUCUUCUCCAUCCACCUAAAUCCUCAGAGCCCUGCAGUGACCUCCCCACUGGGCCAGGUGAUGUGGUGAAAGAGUGCAUGUAGAGAAAGCACCACUGUGAUCUACAGCUUCAGCCCAGAAGCCACAUGCAUCACCGACAUCUACUGGUAAGAAGUCAUCUGGCCAUGCCUGGCUGACAGCAAUAAGUCUGCAAAAUAGAUAACAUGGAUUCUGCUGAACACUGUGAAUACUAUGCAUAUAAAUGGCUUUUUGAGUUGAGUGGAAGCAAACAGACAAAGUCAAGCUCUGGG
This 605-nucleotide long non-coding RNA is filed under the name Heterocephalus glaber (naked mole-rat). RNAcentral describes it as "lncRNA (ENSHGLG00100047884.1)". Lineage: Eukaryota; Metazoa; Chordata; Mammalia; Rodentia; Bathyergidae. The record is from RNAcentral.